Molecule: long non-coding RNA, 872 nt
Organism: Myotis lucifugus (little brown bat)
Lineage: Eukaryota; Metazoa; Chordata; Mammalia; Chiroptera; Vespertilionidae
Exons: 2
Source: RefSeq, a predicted model, not a curated record
UGGGCAGGAGCCUGGCGGGCCCUGGGUUCUCUAAGAGGUUCUUCUAGAAACAGACCCCUCAGAUGCUUCCUCUCAAUUCAGGUAAGAAGUUACUGUUAAGGCACUUGGGGAGUUUCCCUUCCAGCUUCAGAAAGGAAGCGCAGAUAUGUGAGUCAUCAGUGCAGCCCCCCCCCCUCCAGGCCUUAGUGGGCGACCUGAAGGUGGGGGACUCCGUAGAAGUGGACAAAGGCUGCUGCCACCACCAUGAUACUAAUUACCCGAUGUGACUGGUUCCAUGUGUCAACUUAAUAGGACCGAGCGCUCUGUAACUGGAGCAGCCUGGAGGCCAGCUCUGGGGCUGCACAGCCCAGCCAUGAGGAAAAGCCGGCCCAGCUGCCCGCGUGUGGCCUUGACACAGCCCCUGGCACCGUUCUGAUGGCAACUGGCAGUGAGUCUCAAGGCUCAGAGCACAGGACUGGCCUGCAGGGAGCAGACACUCAUCCCAAGAUCCCACUGCUGCUGAGUUCCAUCCGGAGCCUGUCAGAGAGCAGCCGCUGCCGUAGCCGGGCCUCAUCUGAGUGUGCGCCAGCUUCACGCAGAGCACAAGGCAUGUCUGCAGGUGUCACAGAGCGUUCCCCUAACCAGGAAUGGCCUUCAGCGUGGAAAAGACGGUCUUUAGUGAAAGAGACCUCUCCAGAGACCUCAGCCAGACAUGCAAAGACUAUCGAGUUAUUCCAGGAUCCAAGAUCACAUCUGCAGACUUUGUAACAGCCAGAGUCAAUGGCUUAAGGUGUGUAUUUAAACUCCAAUCUCUUCUCUUAGACGCAGCGUCAUAGACAAUAUGUGAGCAAAUAGGUGUGGCUGUAUUCCCAUAAAGCAGUAUUUGUAGACAC